CCUACGGGAGGCAGCAGUGAGGAAUAUUGGUCAAUGGCCGCAGGGCUGAACCAGCCAAGUCGCGUGAGGGAUGACGGUCCUAGGGAUUGUAAACCUCAUUUGCCAGGGAGCAAAGGGCGCCACGUGUGGCGUAUGGCGAGUACCUGAAGAAAACGCAUCGGCUAACACCGUGCCGGCGGCCGCGGUAAUACGGAGGAGGCGAGCGUUAUCCGGAUUUAUUGGGUUAAAGGGGUGCGCAGGCGGAAUGUCAAGUCAGCGGUAAAAUUUCGGGGCUCAACCCCGUCGUGCCGUUGAAACUGGCGUUCUUGAGUGGACGAGAAGUAUGCGGAAUGCGUGGUGUAGCGGUGAAAUGCAUAGAUAUCACGCAGAACUCCGAUUGCGAAGGCAGCAUACCGGCGCUCAACUGACGCUCAUGCACGAAAGCGUGGGUAUCGAACAGGAUUAGAUACCCUUGUAGUC
Molecule: ribosomal RNA, 459 nt
Filed under: uncultured bacterium
Lineage: Bacteria
Description: partial 16S ribosomal RNA
Rfam family: Bacterial small subunit ribosomal RNA
Source: RNAcentral